Molecule: ribosomal RNA, 486 nt
Filed under: uncultured Eudoraea sp.
Lineage: Bacteria; Pseudomonadati; Bacteroidota; Flavobacteriia; Flavobacteriales; Flavobacteriaceae
Description: bacterial SSU rRNA
Rfam family: Bacterial small subunit ribosomal RNA
Source: RNAcentral
GAUGAACGCUAGCGGCAGGCCUAACACAUGCAAGUCGAACGGUAACAUAAGGUGCUUGCACUUUGAUGACGAGUGGCGCACGGGUGCGUAACGCGUAUAGAACCUACCCUGUACAGGGGGAUAGCCCAGAGAAAUUUGGAUUAAUACCCCGUAGUAACUUGAUAUGGCAUCAUAUUAAGUUUAAAGUUUUCGGAUGGUACAGGAUGGCUAUGCGUCCUAUUAGUUAGAUGGUGAGGUAACGGCUCACCAUGGCAGCGAUAGGUAGGGGCCCUGAGAGGGGGAUCCCCCACACUGGUACUGAGACACGGACCAGACUCCUACGGGAGGCAGCAGUGAGGAAUAUUGGACAAUGGGCUAAAGCCUGAUCCAGCCAUGCCGCGUGCAGGAAGACGGCCCUAUGGGUUGUAAACUGCUUUUAUACGGGAAGAAUAAGGGACACGUGUGUCCUGGUGACGGUACCGUAAGAAUAAGGACCGGCUAACUCCG